UACGAAGGGGGCUAGCGUUGCUCGGAAUUACUGGGCGUAAAGCGCGUGUAGGCGGUUGUUCAAGUCAGGUGUGAAAGCCUUGAGCUCAACUCAAGAAAUGCACUUGAUACUGGAUGACUAGAGGACCGGAGAGGAUAGUGGAAUUCCCAGUGUAGUGGUGAAAUACGUAGAGAUUGGGAAGAACACCAGUGGCGAAGGCGGCUAUCUGGACGGUUUCUGACGCUGAGACGCGAAAGCGUGGGGAGCGAACAGG
This 253-nucleotide ribosomal RNA is filed under the name uncultured bacterium. Its description in RNAcentral is "partial 16S ribosomal RNA". It matches the Rfam family "Bacterial small subunit ribosomal RNA", at positions 524 to 776 of the family's 1533-position model. The record is from RNAcentral.